CUCUCUCUCUUUGCCUAUGAAUGGAGAAUACAACAAAUAAUAUAAAGUGAUGGACAUUUCUAUGCUUUGCUUCUCUUCUCCAAAGAGAAAUAGAUGAAAAAGAUUGUUGAUUUUCGUUUCUCUCGAAGAAGAAGAAAGAAGAAGAAGAUUGUGUAUGUGUGGCGUUUGAUGUCUCGUGUUGGAGAGGUGGUCUCGUUUAGAGUGUUAGUGUUUAGUUCUGUUCUUCUGUUGAUCUGUGUUUUUUUUAAAUGUAAAUUACACAAGUAUGCAAAACAAAUCUCUUCUCAGAAAGGGGCUACUGUUAUAUCAUGAGAUUUAUAAGACAAAAUGUAAAAUAUCGGAAAAAUAAAACAACAUAAUUUUGGUGUUGAAUGAGUUUUUCUUGUCCACACAACGGCAGAAGCAGUAGACGAUUGUUCCUUUGUCUCUUGAUC
Arabidopsis thaliana (thale cress) is the source of this 434-nucleotide long non-coding RNA. RefSeq annotates it as other RNA. The record is from RefSeq. The transcript has 2 exons. NCBI's taxonomy places the organism in Eukaryota, Viridiplantae, Streptophyta, Magnoliopsida, Brassicales, Brassicaceae.